Molecule: long non-coding RNA, 5884 nt
Organism: Tyto alba (common barn owl)
Lineage: Eukaryota; Metazoa; Chordata; Aves; Strigiformes; Tytonidae
Exons: 5
Source: RefSeq, a predicted model, not a curated record
CAGCGUGGUUGUUAAUGGCGCGUAGCAGAGCCGGUGUGCCGGGGCGGCAGUGCUGCUCCUCGGAUGUGGCGCUGGCAAGGGGGAUCCCGGGGAGCCUGGCUCCUUCUGUGCCCUGGGGAGUGCCUGUGCAGGGUAGCAUGGAGGCUGCUGUUGCCUUCCACAUUUUUGGGAGGAGGCAGCAGGCGUUUACCCUCUCACCCAGCACGUGGGUUUUAUUAUUCCUUUUUUUCCAGUAGAAUACAGUUUGGGUUCCUCUGUGCUGCGAGCCUCAGCCUGCAAGCAGCAACCCACUGCGGAGCAGACCCCGAGGGCGAGCAACAGUUGCCAGAACAAACGCGAUUGUCAGUGGUCUUGGGGGGCUGCAAGUGCUCUCUGUGGGAGCUGUUUGAUGUCGCUGACCCCACACUGAAUCAGGACGGGAAGGAGGAAACUGCGUUCAGCACUACCUGUAUAAGUACAUCUGCUAACAACCUGUGCCUGGAGGAAAAUUAAGCUGUGAACUGGAAUUCCAUCAGGCUGUCUACUGUGAAGCCCUGUGGCUUUAGCAAAGGGGCAGCAGUGGUCAGAAAUGACACUCAAAAGCAAAUAACAUGUAAUUCAUAGCAGACUUCCAGCUCCUGUCAAAGAGAGAAGAUGCUUUUGCUUCACGCAACCUUUACAUCUAAGGAAAGUUAAAGCCGUAACUGUCAACUCAAGCAGCAGCGCUCUGAUGCCUUCUCAGAAUUACGGUGUUCUGUGCACCUACUACACACGAUCGGGGAGCGGGGGGAGUCCACUGCAGACUCCACUCGUGUAAGCUGUCUCCAGCUGUCACUAGAGAUACUGAAAAGCAAGUCACCAUCACAGAUGUCCGGGAACUGUCAAAAUAUGAAGAAACAAAUAAGGCACCCCACAGGAGUCAUUAGUCCAUCACUGACCUCAUGUUCUUUUGACAAGGCUUGCUGAUUCAAGCCUAGAAUUGUUAGCCUAGAUGCUGCUCCUCACGCCUACACACACGCAGAAGCAUGAUGGUGCCUCAAGUUCAGAAAGCCCAACAAUGUCAGGAGGCUGGAACCCAGACCAAACCAUCACCUCCCCAGCAGCGUCCCUGUUGUGCAAUGGUAGCUCAUUGCAGCACCAGCAUACUUUUGGUCCGCCAAUACCAACCCACAUCUCCUCAGGCCCUGCUGUCCUGACAACCUCGUGUCUUCCUCCCUACUUGGUCAUCUACGCUGGCUUGGUACUUUAGCCCCACUUCUUGCCUGCUCUGUGUCAGGGGCACUUGCACAACAUCUGCUCCGAGACGCCUUGCGAGGAAAUGCCCUGCAAAUCGCCGUGUGGUUUCCAGAACGAAUUCCCCAGUGACACCCUCAUUAAGAGUUCUUGCUACCAAAUGUUGUUUGCUUUUACUUUCAGAACUGCCUGCACUAAUAACGAGUACCUCCACUUGGAAAUUAUUUACAUGAGGUAUUGUGCUCGUGUCAUUGCCACAGAUGGCAGCUCCAGGCUGGGUGAGAGGGAGACGCUGCAACGAAGUCACGGAGCAGCUCCUCUGCUGCGAACGCUGGGGCAGCCCGCCGGCAGCGCACCCCUGCCCCGGGGUGAGCCUGCGUGGCAGAGGGAUUACGGCAGUUUCUCAGCAGCACUACUGCUUCCUCCCCAUAAUCCAGGCACGUUAGGGGCUGAAGUCUUCAGGACAAACUAAGUGCAAAUAGAUGUUAUCGAUGUACUUGUGUCCAGGGGGAGACCUAACAGGUUUGUCAUCUUUGAGGAGGUACAUCUCUCUGGAUUGUAUGCAGGGAGGCACGUGGGAGGGCACGAUGACACUGGACAAGACCAAUAUCAAGACCAGCAAAAGCAAAUGCUAGCCAACAGUUCUGUCUGCAGGAUGCUUCUUCAGUGAGCUGCAGAUUGCCAUGCCCUCCUGGCUGCCCUGCCUGAGACAAUAAGAGCUUGAGUACUUCACAGCAAAAAUGUCCUGGGAAAAGCAGAACUAUUUCGUGUGAUAAAGGCUGGCUGCACAGUUCGGGAAGAUGAGCUUGUCAGAGAUGCUGCUGCACUCAGGCUGAACCUGUGGGAAGUGUGCCUGUUCCUAAUAAAUGUUGUGUGUAUUUAUGUGACAGUCAUUGUGCUUUGCAAGGAGGGAGUCACAGAAAUAAUUAGUUAAGAGCGUGAGGUUUUUGGCACAGAUUCCCUUUCUCAAGUAGCUGUGAUGUUCAUAUAUAAGAAAAAUUGAUUUGGCAUCUAGACAGGAUUUCAGCACGCUCAUGGUUAUGGAAAUCAGCUAUGGGCAUGGAGGAAAUCUGUAUAUUGAUUCAUAAACUGACUUGAUGACUUGUUCAUGCUUUAAUAUUUUCAUGGGCUUUUACCCAAAAUAAAAAUGUCAGUAGGUACCACUUGACUGUGCUACAGCACCAUCUAAAAUGGUUGGAAGAAUGCAGGGAAGAAAAGGGAUUUCCUAUUAGACAGAAGCCUUUACUGUCUGUGCUAAUUAUUUUUUUCCUUAAAGAAGAGGCUUUUUGUCAUUGCCCUUGCUUACUGCAUCAAAAUGUGCACAUAUAUAACACCCAGAGAAAAAAGGUUUCCUAUGAAAGACGUCCAGUUUCACGGUCACUCUUUCUUUUUCAAGACUUCAGGAAAGCUAGUCCUCCUUUUACUCACACAAUCAUGUACCAAUACUGCUAGAACUGCCAUGACUCUGUGUGUGUAAUAGUAUGAGAAUAGAUUUACUUUGGUAUCACGUAGGAGGGCAAAAGCUGACUUUUUUUUUUUUUUUGGUCAGCCUGGUUAGGGGGUGUUUAGUCAGAAUCAGCACCAAUCCAUGACUGCCUUGCAAAAAACACCUACAAUACACUGACUCCUCAUGAACAUGUUUCUCUGCAGGUUUAAAAUCUUAAUUCCUGAAUAAUACCUUCACCUACCUCGUGAAUUUCUUUGAGACCUUCCAGUGCUGACCAGUCUUGAUCCUAUUCGACUUAGGGUAUGUGGGCUCAAAAUGGAGGCAGUAUGGCUGCUGGCCAUUAUUAAAAUGAAUGGAAAAUAUGUCAUGUAUAAUUUAAUCUAAGAUCCAGUGUGAUAACAAUACGUGCCCAAAUACUGAUCUUAUUUGCAACAGAAUGCUUCAGCUGUGACUUCAGAAGAAAUCAAUGGGUGUAAUGUAAGAUGAGUCACAACGCAUACACUGUGCCAUAGCAGAGCAGAAUUUUCUCCAUAAAUAAUGUCUCUUUUGGCAAGACACAGGGAAAAAAGCCUGAAAAUCUAUAUUAUAUUGAACUGCACAGUUCAGGAAAGAGGCCUUAUACAUAACAGUACAUUUUUGAACAUGUAGGUUGUUCCUUGUGGACUAAAUCUUCCCUUAAGACAGUUUGUUACUAAUUUUCACAAAAUUUCUGGAAGUCUUUUCAAUGAUUGGGGUGUAGAAUUAAAAGAUCUCUGAGGCCUUGAUUGAAAGUGAUGCGUUUGGACACCACCUUACAUACUGAAAGCAUGCAGAGAAACCAGGGAGAUGUCUCAUGAUGUCUCAAGGUGCACUCUUAGAAACAUGGAGAAAUUCUCAUAUCCUCAGGAAGAGACAAGAAGGCCAUUUUGUCAUUUGGUGGUUGGCUUCUUGCUGCUUAUUAAAGUCUGCCAGACUUGUGGCUAACGAGUGAUUUAAAUGUAGCUUGAAGGAAACUUUUGUUUCCUUCAACUGCUAUUUUAAGAAAGAUCCCUUAAAAUUAAUUGACUGACAAACUGUAUAAUUGAUGCUAUCUACGCAGCAUGCACCAGCCAAAACUGCUGGGUAGUGAGAGCAUUGGCAUCUUGGUAGAUGCUGUGCUAAACCCUUCUGAGAACCUCUGCUUGCCCUCUCUGUAUGCUCUUGUGUAGGAGAGGGCAUGUUUGGUUUUCUGCUUACUCUAUUCCCUUUUGUACUUGUUCAUUUGCUAGGUGCAUAAAGGAGAGGAGGUCACUUGCGCACAUGGGAUAAAGAGGUAUUAUGAAUUCUAAAGUGUUUGCUUUAUUGGGAAAAGCACAGCAAGCAGGAGAGCUCAGGAACAUAAUGUGUGAAUUUUUAAUGAAUGCUGUGCCAAGUGUUUGUGCAUUUUUUUUUUUCUACCUGUAGCAGCUUUAUUCAUUUGGGAGAGUACUGCGUACAAGAUAUUCUUUAGUAGUAUGCUGGCUGCUGUUUAGUUUUAAUAAAUUAAAUCCUUUAUAUCAAUGUAAUAUUCUUUAGACAAGCACUUCCAAGACAGAUUAGAAAUGAAUUUAAGGGGAUUAAAAGCUUCUCUUGCUAAAAACAAUGUUUCAGAUGGGAAAUCCACUUAUUUAUGUCACUUUCAGUGGACUACAUUUGUCUUUAAUAUGUUGCUACUCCUAAAGAAAGCAGUGCUUUGCCCAUGACUUUAGCCUUUCUGCUCUGCUUUACAUACAUAGCAAUGUUUAUUUUCUUCACUACAGUAAGUCACUUUGGGAAAGAUUGAUGGCUUCCCAUAAAACUGUGAGCAACCAUUUUCUUUCUGAUUUAGAGAAAACAAAAGAUUUAAUGGAUCUGGCAUUUUAAAUAGCGUCAGUCUCUUUGUAAAAUAGGAAACUGUACAAAUGGAAGGUUUGAGCAGAGAGAAAAAUCUGCUUUGAUUUUCCCUUUGCUGAAUUGUAGCAGGCUGAAAACCUCAAUUGGAAGGUUCUUGUUAGCUGUGAAAUCCUGGACAUCUUGGGAGCAGCCUGGUUUAGCUGGUGUUAACUCAGAUCUGUGCAGCAGAUUGAGAGGCAGGCACUAGUUCCCGAGCUGUUUCCUCUAACUUGUACCAGGUUAUCUGUUUCUAUAUUAAAUGCUUGUCCUAGUACAUGGUUCAAUGGUACGUCAGUUCCAGUGAUGGGACCUCUGAUACCAAGCCAAAAUCUCCUGAACACACCAUGCAGAAACCUGAUUUGGUAUACCACCACUCUGCAGGUAUAAAAAUUGUCGUUGGGCAGUCUGUAUGUGAGACCAGAUGCUGUCUGUCCAUGCUGCACUAACUGGCUGCUGCCCCAUCAGUAGACAUCCAGCCAACACAAACUGAGUGCUUUGGUCAACCCAGCAAAGCCACAGCCAUACUGCUCUGCUCUCCACAGCCUCUUCACGUUUGUCCUGCUGGGCAUCUGGUCGUGCGCGGAUGGCUAUCAACAUUAACAGGACACCUUUCAGGCUCUGGUAGGGGCUUCUCAUCAAUCACCAAGUCACACGAUACUGACCUGGAAAUGGCUGGCUGCCCCCUGAUGCUCUCACACUGUGAGAUUUCAACAAGGCAGGAUCCACCCCUAUGGAAUAAAUGAAGAGGAUCUUGUGGGGGAUGAACAACAAGAAGGUUGAAUAUUCUGAGUAUUCAGACAAUUUUAAGACCAUGUUUCAGCCCCAUAAGAGACAAUCCAUCACACUAACUUUACUAUCAUCCGUGUUUGUCAGUCUGAACUUUCAGUUCAUCUCCUGGACUACAAAAAAUGCAGUUUUGGAGUCUACUCCCCACAGCUGUUGAAUGGGGUUAGAGAAGGUACCCCUGAAAAGGUGAAAGAAGGAAGACCUCCUCUCGAGGCUCCUCACAAAGCAUCUGGGACAAGAAUGAGACUGGGAAGCCUUUGAGGACCAUUUAUUUUUACCUUUUCCCAUGUGAAUUAAAAGUCUUUGGUCUACAGUGAGGACAGAAGAAAUUACUGUUGCCAUUUGCACGUGAGUGCUUGCUCCUUACAUGACAGCACCAAGAGCUCAGCCAUGAUUUUCAGAUCUGUUAUUAUUCAAUUACAUUGCAGAUAACUUAGGCAGAGGGAGAGGUUCAACCCCACAUCACAUAAAGUUUGUCUUGGUAACAGUGUCCUUGACACAGUGCUGGAUUUUGUUAUUUUAGGCAUAAAGCCCCCCAUCAUUACUUGAAAUAAUUUCAGAAUAAUUUCU